UGCAGCUGUGUCAAAUUCAAUGCCUGCCUUACCCAUGGCAGGCACUGGCCCAAAAGGCUACCAGAGAGACACUGCAACUCAUGGGCCCUGCUCCUCUCUGCUGAGGCUCAGGGAUAAUUUUGUUACAGACAUUA
This 134-nucleotide small nucleolar RNA is filed under the name Echinops telfairi (small Madagascar hedgehog). RNAcentral's name for it is "Small nucleolar RNA SNORA5 (ENSETEG00000020847.1)". It matches the Rfam family "Small nucleolar RNA SNORA5". From Rfam's summary of the family: ACA5 is a member of the H/ACA class of snoRNA that guide the sites of modification of uridines to pseudouridines. The record is from RNAcentral. Lineage: Eukaryota; Metazoa; Chordata; Mammalia; Afrosoricida; Tenrecidae.